Epinephelus fuscoguttatus (brown-marbled grouper) is the source of this 396-nucleotide long non-coding RNA. RefSeq lists it as uncharacterized. The transcript has 3 exons. The record is from RefSeq and is a predicted model, not a curated record. Lineage: Eukaryota; Metazoa; Chordata; Actinopteri; Perciformes; Serranidae.
GGCACAGCAAUCUCUGGGCUCAUUGACUGUGGGGCCUGAGGGGGUUUGUGGUAAAAGUCUAGGCACGUAUUAGCUCUGCAGUGCUGGCUGACCCAGACUGGUCCCUGGCCACAUAACCACAGUCUCAUGCCUACUCAAAGGGCCUCUGUGUGGGAAUGUGCCGCCACGGAGCCUGGCCCCUCUGGAACAUCAUCCGUGGGAUAUGCAGAGCUGGCCAGUUGACGGGCAGAUGUGAGCUGCGUGUCUGUGCGUCUGUUUGAUCAAGGGCAAAGUUGUGACACACACAGCAGCGGACAGGAUGAAGCACGCGUUUGAGCUAAAUUCACACAGAAUUUGGUAACACAGCAGCUUCCUGCAGUGUUGUGCGGAGGUUUGGCUGUCUUGAUCACUGCUGAG